UUCAAAAUGACAGAAUAAUGUGACAGAGUUAAAGCCUGUCUAUGAGGAAACUCUUUUGAUA
This 61-nucleotide transfer RNA is filed under the name Hyalella azteca. Its description in RNAcentral is "tRNA-Leu". Lineage: Eukaryota; Metazoa; Arthropoda; Malacostraca; Amphipoda; Hyalellidae. The record is from RNAcentral.